Molecule: non-coding RNA, 2063 nt
Organism: Triticum urartu
Lineage: Eukaryota; Viridiplantae; Streptophyta; Magnoliopsida; Poales; Poaceae
Source: RefSeq, a predicted model, not a curated record
UUCUCACGAUCGCGUUUGGACGCCCACGAGAAAGGGGUACCCCUGGCCUUUCCCCGGGAAAGGCUCCCACGAGUGCAGACGUCGGGGAGGAAACCCUCGCUCGUUCUGUCUCGCACUCGUGAAUGACUGGCGGCGGCGACUGGAAGACCUCCUCCGUCCACCGCUACGAUCUCCUCCGUCCACCGCUCCUGCCUCCUCCGACCGGCGACUGCAACGCCCCCUGCCCUCCUCCCUUCGACGCUCUGCCCCUCCGGAUGGGGCGACGGGACCGGGGUCGCCAUCCUACUACUUCCCGGAUCUCGUCUCCGCCCCCAAGAUCUUCACCUUCCGAUGACGACGACGGCCAGGAGAUCAUGCUCCUCUUCGUCCAAGGUUAUCCCCUCCUCCUCUUCCACCCGCCAUUUUUUCCUUCCCUGCUACACGCACUAACGAGCGUCUGUACAGAUCCAAGAGCCUCCUCUCCUGUUUGAGUUUUGUAUCACAAGAACCAAUACGGAAGAACAUCCAUCGUUUGUAGAUUGUAGUAGUGUUUCUACCUAACUAUCCUGACCUCACAAGUGAGCACAACCACAUCUACCUCCUUGUGAUGCUAAUCUACACACAAUGUUCUAGUAAUAUAUCUGAAGGGGACUACUCAGCCUGUACUAGCCUUGUCCUAAUUUUAACUUAGAAUCUUUAGGAUAACCUGAAGUAUGCUUGUCUUGCUUAUAAUAACGGUGUAGCAUAAACGUACCAGUUAUUGGAAUUCAAUUGCGUUGAUGAAAGUAGCAUUAGUAUCAUGGUAACUGUUCAGUUUAAAAUCACUCUCAUUCAAGUUCUUCCCUUUUGUACCAAGAUAUGGAACCAAAGUUUGAGCAUAUGUAAUCUUGAUAAUUGGCCUUCGGUUUAAACUCUAUGGACCCAAGGGGACAUUCACUCCAUUAUCUCUGUCCAUUUUACACUUUUUGCGUACGCCAUUGAGUUGAUCUAUUGUUUUCUUAACUUCAAGCUUUAUUUGUAAAAAAGUAUGUUAGUGGUAAAGUAAUUAAAAGAUGAAACCAUGUGCUAUUAAGAUUUUGAGUUUUCCCGCGGAUUAUUCAAAGAGAGAACAUCAUCUUAUUAUGUUUAGAUCUGUUUGUUUGCGAAAGAUGCAUAUAAAUAAAAAUAUGUGCUUAUAUAUAUUUUGACUAAUGAAUUGAUAUUAUCUUUUUGUAAAGAAUUUUGAAUUAUGAUGUGAUUGCAGCAAAGCCAAUUGAUAGUAUUAUCAAUGCAGUGCUGUUAAGUCAUCAAUUACUAAUGUACUGUUAGAAAAUGGCCUUUACUGAUUGAAGGAGAAAAUUGCUACCAAGGAGAAAACAUAAGGUAUGUAAUUUUGAAGUACCAAUUUAGAGGUGCAGUUUUGUGUUUUCUUCCAUUGGGCAUUUUACAAUUUGUUCAUGAAUUUGCACAUGCUAACUCAUAAGCAGAGGAAUAUCUUGUGAAACAGAGGGUGUAUACAAAUGAGUUCAUGCUCUUGUCAGUUUUUCGUUGGGGAAUUAUCUUGUGUUUUUGUGUGAAUGCAUCUCUACAGCUUUAGCUCCUUAUGUCCACCAUGUCGGCGCUGGCGGCAUUGAACAUGUCGACGAUGUGGGCAGUGCCAUCCUUGACGAUUCAGUUCAGGAUCCCCCACUUGGCGGCGUCCUUGGCGUUGUAUCUCUCUUUCGGGUUCAGCCCCCAGCCGAUGGAGACGACCAUGAACUUGCCGUAUGUUGGAAUAAACUCAAGUCUGCACCUAGUAUAUUUCUCUGCCAUGGUUUCCUAAAGCUAGCCAAUGAAAAUGUUCAAAGAAUUUGAUCUUGGAAGUUUCAGUAGUGACUAUCCCAGCAGCAACACAUUUUAGCAUGGAUGAUUUACACAGAUACAUGUUGAUAAUGGAACCAAAUGAUUAUUCUUGAUGGAUUUCUACCUUAGUUAGCAUUUCCGCUGUUAAACCAUGAUUAGCACGCUUAAUUUAUUCGCGGUGCCGUUAUUUGUACGACUGAACAUGUAUAACUUAUGGUCAGCGUGUUUGAUGUGGAUUGAAGUGUUUUAUUUUUUUCACUGAU